UAGGGAAUAUUAGUUAAUGUGCGAAAGCGCGAACUAGCAACGCCGCGUGUGCGAUGAAGGUCUUCGGAUCGUAAAGCACUUUUCGAGAAGAUGAGGAAGGACAGUACUCUCGGAAUAAGUCUCGGCUAACUACGUGCCAGCAGCCGCGGUAAAACGUAGGAGGCAAGCGUUAUCCGGAUUUACUGGGCGUAAAGCGCGUGCAGGCGGUUUGGUAAGUUGGAUGUGAAAGCUCCCGGCUCAACUGGGAGAGGUCGUUCAAAACUACCAGAGUUGAGGGCGGGAGAGGGAAGUGGAAUUCCGUGUGUAGUGGUGAAAUGCGUAGAUAUACGGAGGAAGACCAGGGGCGAAAGCGGCUUCCUGUACCGAUCCUGACGCUCAGACGCGAAAGCUAGGGGAGCAAACGG
This 404-nucleotide ribosomal RNA is filed under the name uncultured bacterium. RNAcentral's name for it is "bacterial SSU rRNA". It matches the Rfam family "Bacterial small subunit ribosomal RNA", at positions 355 to 775 of the family's 1533-position model. The record is from RNAcentral.